This 253-nucleotide ribosomal RNA is filed under the name uncultured bacterium. RNAcentral describes it as "partial 16S ribosomal RNA". It matches the Rfam family "Bacterial small subunit ribosomal RNA", at positions 524 to 776 of the family's 1533-position model. The record is from RNAcentral.
UACGAAGGGUGCAAGCGUUACUCGGAAUUACUGGGCGUAAAGCGUGCGUAGGUGGUGAGUUAAGUCUGUCGUGAAAGCCCACGACUCAAUCGUGGAACUGCCUUUGAGACUGCUUCGCUUGAAGAUGGGAGAGGUUAGUGGAAUUCCGAGUGUAGAGGUGAAAUUCGUAGAUAUUCGGAAGAACACCAGUGGCGAAGGCGGCUAACUGGACCAUUCUUGACGCUGAGGAACGAAAGCGUGGGGAGCAAACAGG